This 218-nucleotide small RNA is filed under the name Enterobacter ludwigii. RNAcentral describes it as "STnc560 Hfq binding RNA". It matches the Rfam family "STnc560 Hfq binding RNA". Lineage: Bacteria; Pseudomonadati; Pseudomonadota; Gammaproteobacteria; Enterobacterales; Enterobacteriaceae. The record is from RNAcentral.
CUUUCAUUGAGACUAUGGAUGUUAGUGUGUAAGAGAUCCGCUGCCCGGCCAUGGAGUGUCGGGACGUAGAGACCAAAAUACAAAUCUAUCCAUGCAAGCAUUUACCGCCAUAUUAUGGCGGUUUUUUUUGUCUGCAAUCCGGCCACUAGCGGGCAGGCCGCGAAUAGUGUUUGCGAUACUGGGCCGGUGAAAGGGCGAACUGCUGCCGAAAAUGGUGA